GACGAACGCUGGCGGCGUGCCUAAUACAUGCAAGUUGAGCGAUGAAGAUUGGUUCUUGCACCAAUUUGAAGAGCAGCGAACGGGUGAGUAACGCGUGGGGAAUCUGCCUUUGAGCGGGGGACCACCUUUGGAAACGAAUGCUAAUACCGCAUAAUAACUUUAAACAUAAGUUUUAAGUUUGAAAGAUGCAAUUGCAUCACUCAAAGAUGAUCCCGCGUUGUAUUAGCUAGUUGGUGAGGUAAAGGCUCACCAAGGCGAUGAUACAUAGCCGACCUGAGCGGGCGAUCGGCCACAUUGGGAGGGAGACACGGCCCAAACUCCCACGGGAGGCAGCAGUAGGGAAUCUUCGGCAAUGGACGAAAGUCUGACCGAGCAACGCCGCGUGAGGGAAGAAGGAUUUCGGAUCGGAAAACUCUGUUGGUAGAGAAGAACGUUGGUGAGGGUGGAAAGCUCAUCAAGUGACGGUAACUACCCAGAAAGGGACGGCUAACUACGUG
RNAcentral lists this ribosomal RNA (497 nucleotides) under uncultured bacterium. Its description in RNAcentral is "partial 16S ribosomal RNA". It matches the Rfam family "Bacterial small subunit ribosomal RNA", at positions 28 to 507 of the family's 1533-position model. The record is from RNAcentral.